RNAcentral lists this small nucleolar RNA (124 nucleotides) under Ananas comosus (pineapple). The record is from RNAcentral. Lineage: Eukaryota; Viridiplantae; Streptophyta; Magnoliopsida; Poales; Bromeliaceae.
AUCCCAGGUGAAUGUGGUUGAAGUGUUUAUGUGAUUCGUGGGAGGCUGAAACCCAUGAUGGGAGCUUUGCUGGUAACGCCCCUGUUUCCCUGGAGGCGCUUCAUUAGUAGCUUGCCACACAUAA